Myodes glareolus (Bank vole) is the source of this 116-nucleotide small nuclear RNA. RefSeq annotates it as U5 spliceosomal RNA. Lineage: Eukaryota; Metazoa; Chordata; Mammalia; Rodentia; Cricetidae. The record is from RefSeq and is a predicted model, not a curated record.
UUGUUCUGGUUUCUCUUCACCCCGUAUAAGUCUUUCCUCUCUAACUAAAGAUUUCUGUGGUGAGGAACGACUCUUACUCUCACCCACUUCUUUGCAGUCUUUGCAAUAGCAGGGCU